GGGGCUCCUUCCUGGUCACAGGAGCUCAAGAGAGAACCAGAAGAUGGGUUCUGGUGGUAAUGGCAUUCAGCAAGCAGGAAGAGGAUGUGAGAACUUCAGCCCUGAGAAAAAAGAGUGAAGAGAAAUGAGCUACAGUGGAAAAGGCCCAGGGAGGAGCAGCAGCAGCAGCAGCAGCAAAAUUGGUUCCCUUCAUAUUUGGCCCUUCAGAGUGGGUCUGGCCAGAAGAGAUGCUCUAGGGAAACAUUAUUAGGGUUGUCAAUUAUUGGCAAUUAACUCAGGUGAAGCAUGUUGUAUAUUGGCUAUUUCCCACCAUCUCAGAAGUAGCUGCAAUUCACUGACACUUUCAGCCACAUAGACGAUGUUGUACGGCACAGAGGGGAGCAAAGUGCAUAAGCUUCCUCUGCCCUACCCCAAAAACCAAAUGAGGUGUUGCAGCUCUCUGGAAUGCUCCCCUUUGCCCUGAACCUUCAGAUGACUCAUCCCUAUGCCAACAAGAUGGGAUAUUUGCCAUGUUGGGGCAUGAGCAAGAAGCAACCAGUCUGUGGCAUGCUCCCCUAAAAACCUGGCAGACUCCCCAUGGAAAUCCAGUCAAGAAUAAUUGUGCUAGCAGCAUUAUCUCCCCUUCAUUAACUUCUGCCAUCUCCAAGAGGAACAUGAAAGAUAAUGGAGGCUAGUGCCAGCAGAACAGCUACUGAGUGAGCUAUGCUGAGGGGGCAUGGUUAAGACAAAGUGCAAAGGGGUUGGUUCUCUGCACAUCUGUGUGGAUCAGGAGCAUGGACAAGGAGAAGGAAGGAAGUGUGUCAGAGGAGGGUGGGAGUUCAGAUCCAGCUGAGUUGGAAGUGGAUUUUCCCCAUAUAUCUCUAGCUUUAUGGAGUCCAACACUGUCCCUACUGAACCCCUUUGUGGUAAUUGAAUGCCAGAAGAUGAACCUAGGAGAGAUUUCUCAAGCACCUCUCUCUCCCUCUUGUAGGAUUUUCCCAGGGAAGUGAAUGUUAACCCAUAAGUUGCCUUGAGAUCCUCCAGAAUUAAAGGUGCUGUGUAAUGUCCUGUCCAGACAUUGGUUUCAGAAACCUCCUUUGUAUGAUUGU
Long non-coding RNA from Dermochelys coriacea (leatherback sea turtle), 1088 nucleotides. RefSeq lists it as uncharacterized. The transcript is spliced from 3 exons. The record is from RefSeq and is a predicted model, not a curated record. Lineage: Eukaryota; Metazoa; Chordata; Testudines; Dermochelyidae.